RNAcentral lists this long non-coding RNA (603 nucleotides) under Homo sapiens (human). RNAcentral describes it as "HSALNT0311380". Lineage: Eukaryota; Metazoa; Chordata; Mammalia; Primates; Hominidae. The record is from RNAcentral.
GAAUCAAGAUGGCCGCCUGGGACCGCUCUCAGCCCCUUCGGCCUCUACCUGAAGAGCCACGCCCCGUCUGCUACACCCAACUGAUUGGUUCCUCAAUCACAGAGAGGAAAGGCAACAUGAGGAUGACGUCAGUUACAAAUAUGGCGUUUUGGACGGGCUCGAUAGUUUGCUUGGCCUCUACUCAAGGAAUGCUGAUGGUAUAGCAAGAAGGUAUUCUGAGCAUUAUAUCAAUGGGGAAGUUCUAGAUCUUUUGCAAAGCAGGAGCAAGCUGCCCUGUUGUGAGCUCUCCGGUGGAGAGCCCCACAUGGCAAGAAAAUGAGAAGCCCCCUGAACAGACAAGAGCUGAGGCCCAGGAUACAAUAUCCUGAAAAAAACUGAAUCCUGCUGACAGUUGCCCAAGUGAAGCUGGAAGUGGAUCUUUCUGCAGUGGAUCCUUGAGAUGACUGUAGCCCUGGCUGACAACUUGAUUGCUGCCUGUGAAGGACCCUGAACCAGAGGACUCAGCGAAAUUGUGCCCAGAUUCCUGACCUACAGAGGCAGUGAGAUAAUAAAUGCUGUUGAGGUCACAAAGUUUUGAGGCUGGAGUGCAAUGGCAUGAUCUCA